This 276-nucleotide long non-coding RNA is filed under the name Lathyrus oleraceus (garden pea). RNAcentral describes it as "Pisum sativum (pea) long non-coding RNA (PSAT_LNC010315)". Lineage: Eukaryota; Viridiplantae; Streptophyta; Magnoliopsida; Fabales; Fabaceae. The record is from RNAcentral.
CUUGAGCACAAGGUCACCUUCUCGGAACACACGAGACUUGACCUUCUUGUCGAAUGCUUUUUCACUCUCUGCUGAUAUGACUGACCAUGACACAUGGCAGUUGAUCUCUUCCUUUCGAUCGAAUUCAGCAUCAGCCAACUUGGGACUUUGAGGGUGCUAUUUUUUGUUUCUUUCUUUCUCUUUUCUGAUUUGGGUUUCUUUUGAUUUUGCACCCUCUUUUUCUUCUUUUCUUUUUUUAUUUUACACUUUUUUUUUGAUGCCCCAGUUGGCUGUUCU